Lactuca sativa (garden lettuce) is the source of this 688-nucleotide long non-coding RNA. RefSeq lists it as uncharacterized. The record is from RefSeq and is a predicted model, not a curated record. NCBI's taxonomy places the organism in Eukaryota, Viridiplantae, Streptophyta, Magnoliopsida, Asterales, Asteraceae.
UUUUGAAUCGGGAUAAGCUUCUUUAGAGCAUCUCCAUUUUUUUCCAUCUGUUCUUCUGCAUCUCCCUGGUUCUGGAUCUAUUUUCCUCCCAAAUCCCAUCUGGAAACAGUUCCAUCCAACUCCAACUGCAGAUUAAUGAAAUACUUCAAACAGUUGGCAUGCAUAUCCAUGUUCAAAAACUUUCUGAGAAACGGUUUUCAAGUUCAGAUGCUGUUUUCUGUUUUGACAAGUGAAGGAAGAGUGUUUUUUUUCUUGUAGGAAAUACUUCAAACAGUUGGCAUGCAUAUCCAUGUUCGAGAAGCACCUAAGAUCUGAGGUUUAAAAAAAAACUAGCAUGAAAAACAUACAAUUAGACGACAUACUUGAAUGAUGGGGAGAGUGGUGGUGCAGGAGAAGUCUCGUGGAAGAAUCCAAGCUUCUUUGGAUGGAGAAGAGGAGAUCAGGAGGAAUGGGCAUGCCGGAAAUCAUGUAUUUGUAAACAAGCGCUUGGUGUUCUAGCUCUUGCCAUUGACUUGAUGUGAACGGAAAUCGAGAAUUGUCGUUCCUUGCUGUAGUCAUCGUUUCCAUUGAUCGGGUCUUCUUUUCCGGUCAAGAUAUUGAAGAAAGAGAAACCCCUGGAAUUUCUGGGUAUAUGAAUUAAGCUUCAGAAAGAGAUAAAAAUAUACAGGUCGUUUCUGUUCGUGAUAGA